Molecule: ribosomal RNA, 447 nt
Filed under: uncultured bacterium
Lineage: Bacteria
Description: bacterial SSU rRNA
Rfam family: Bacterial small subunit ribosomal RNA
Source: RNAcentral
GUCCAGACUCCUACGGGAGGCAGCAGUGGGGAAUAUUGCACAAUGGGGGAAACCCUGAUGCAGCGACGCCGCGUGAGUGAAGAAGUAUUUCGGUAUGUAAAGCUCUAUCAGCAGGGAAGAAAAUGACGGUACCUGAUUAAGAAGCCCCGGCUAACUACGUGCCAGCAGCCGCGGUAAUACGUAGGGGGCAAGCGUUAUCCGGAUUUACUGGGUGUAAAGGGAGCGUAGACGGCAGCACAAGUCUGGAGUGAAAGCCCGGGGCCCAACCCCGGGACUGCUUUGGAAACUGCCAUGCUAGAGUGCUGGAGAGGUAAGCGGAAUUCCUAGUGUAGCGGUGAAAUGCGUAGAUAUUAGGAGGAACACCAGUGGCGAAGGCGGCUUACUGGACAGUAACUGACGUUGAGGCUCGAAAGCGUGGGGAGCAAACAGGAUUAGAUACCCCCGUAA